UUACUUAUCAUAUCACAAUUUAUAAAUCCACAUAGGCUCCUCCUUAUUUCUGCCGUCAGCAGAAGAACAAGAGGCAAGAGAAAAUAAAAUAAAAUAAAAUAAAAUUCAGUCAGUUUAAUUCCACCACACACAAGAAAUUUUUAUCUUAAAAAUGGUCCUUGCCUAAUAUCAGUGAUGAGGAAAAUCAGGUUUCGAUUAUGCGUAAUUUGUUUUGUUUUCAGUUUACGAAAAUGAAAAUUCCUACUUAAUUGGUUAAAAUAAAUAAAUGACUACUAGAUUAAAUUUUCCACCUUAUGUUGUGCGUGAGCUGGGUAUAGCUUUUAUGAAGCAUCUAUUUGUAGAGUUCUAUUUGGUCAUUUGAUUUUAGAUAUGUAGAGUAGAUAGUUUUUUGAAGGUUGAUUUGGAGAUUCAUGUGGAAUUUUCCUUGCAGCGUCAAAUUUAAGGGCUUUGCUAGUAAAUAUCGUGAUGAUCCAGGAUAUCCGAUAUUCAGAACUCUAUUGGUUGUGAAUAAUGUUAUCCAUUUUGUCCUUAUGCAUAGUCAUCUUUUGUUGGGAUGGGCAGGCACUGAACUGGCUCCUAAUUCUUCAAUAACAGAAUAACAUUUGUAUUUAGGACUGAAAGACUGAGCAGAUUUACGGUAUACCAUUCUCCACCUCCCUUUUGGGGCACUAUUAGAGAACUCAUUUAGUGUGUCAACUAAAGGUUCCAUCUAUUACUUGUAUUAUUUUCUCAAGGUCUUAAUUUAGAACUUUUGAAGCUAUGUCGUUGCCUGUCAUCCAACGUGUUUCUGUUAAAUCACUUAUGUUAACUCCUCCUUGGUGGUGCUAUCUCAGACUAGUUCAGAAGCCUGGAAACUGAAGUCCCGUUGUUACCAUGACAAGUUGGAUCCAACUAGGAGGUUAUCCAACUGAAUUCUAUCAAAAAUGAAAGGUAUAGAUUCUUCGUGUGAAAAAAUAAGAGUUGACAGGUUAAGUCAACAGUAUGAAUAGCAUUCAUAAGGACAGGAUAAGUAAAGGCAUAUGCUCAAUGGAGUGCUCAACAGAAGGGUGCAUGUUGAACAGCAACAGUGACCCAAACAAAACUUUGGUCCAGGUAAAGUGAAUUAUGGAAUAUGGAGCAAGUACUGUCACCGGGCAUUUGGCAUCAAAAAGAGCAAAUUUCUGAGACAAGAAGUCUUGUAGCAGCCUCUUGAGUUAGAAGAGCUAGUUUCUCUUUUCCAUGUGGUAGGAGGUUCCACCAAGGUUCAGGUAUAUGUCAUCUUUUUCCCUUGCAAAGACACUUAUUGAAUCUUCUUUGCUGAUGUUUUACUAGUGUGGCUUAAUGAUUUUUGAGGCUAUGGACCAUUGAACCAAAUCCGUUGGAGCUUUCUCCACACACAUCUAAUAUUGCCAGUUGGUUUUCAUGAAGUGAAAAGGCAUUUGCAAAUGAGAUAUUUGGUCAAGUACUUCGAGAGUAGUAAAAAUUGUUUUCAGAAGCUAGAACAAAAACAAUUUUUGCUUUAAAAGUAUUUUUUUGUUGUUGUGAAAAAUGCACUUAGAGAUGCUUUUUAAAAAUGUAGCCAGAACACUAAUUGUUGCUCAAAAUUACUUUUUUCUUAUAUUGAACAGCAAAACACAAAAUCUUUGUUUUAUUUUCCCAAAGCAGGUGAUUCAGUAAAUUUGAAUUUGCUUGAGUUCCAAGGAUUCUUGAUACA
This is a long non-coding RNA of Solanum tuberosum (potato), 1693 nucleotides long. RefSeq lists it as uncharacterized. NCBI's taxonomy places the organism in Eukaryota, Viridiplantae, Streptophyta, Magnoliopsida, Solanales, Solanaceae. The transcript is spliced from 4 exons. The record is from RefSeq and is a predicted model, not a curated record.